RNAcentral lists this ribosomal RNA (331 nucleotides) under uncultured bacterium. Its description in RNAcentral is "partial 16S ribosomal RNA". It matches the Rfam family "Bacterial small subunit ribosomal RNA", at positions 338 to 666 of the family's 1533-position model. The record is from RNAcentral.
CCUACGGGAGGCAGCAGUGAGGAAUAUUGGUCAAUGGGCGCGAGUCUGAACCAGCCAUGUAGCGUGCAGGAUGACGGCCCUAUGGGUUGUAAACUUCUUUUAUAAGGGAAUAAAGUGAGGUACGUGUACCUUUCUGUAUGUACUUUAUGAAUAAGGAUCGGCUAACUCCGUGCCAGCAGCCGCGGUUAUACGGAGGAUUCGAGCGUUAUCCGGAUUUAUUGGGUUUAAAGGGUGGGUAGUAGGGUGGUUAAGUUAGUUGUGAAAGGUUGCGGCUCAACUGUGGAAUUGCAAUUGAUACUGGUAGUCUUGAGUGCAGUUGAGGUAGGCGGAA